CGCUUCCGGCACUCUAUCGUGCGCUCGAGCGGUCCGGAAGUGACUUGCUACUUUGCCGGCGAGCGGUGGAUCUGGAGUAUGUCAGGGAAACUGCCUGAUGGAGGGGGACUCUACUGGAAACGGUAGCUAAUACCGCAUGACCUCGAAAGAGCAAAGUGGGGGAUCUUCGGACCUCACGCCAUCGGAUGUGCCCAGAUGGGAUUAGCUAGUAGGUGAGGUAAUGGCUCACCUAGGCGACGAUCCCUAGCUGGUCUGAGAGGAUGACCAGCCACACUGGAACUGAGACAUGGUCCAACUCUCUACGGGAGGCAGCAGUGGGGAAUAUUGCACAAUGGGCGCAAGCCUGAUGCAGCCAUGCCGCGUGUGUGAAGAAGGCCUUAGGGUUGUAAAGCACUUUCAGCGAGGAGGAAGGCAUCACACUUAAUACGUGUGGUGAUUGAUGUUACUCGCAGAAGAAGCACCGGCUAACUCCGUGCCAGCAGCCGCGGUAAUACGGAGGGUGCAAGCGUUAAUCGGAAUUACUGGGCGUAAAGCGCACGCAGGCGGUUUGUUAAGUCAGAUGUGAAAUCCCCGCGCUUAACGUGGGAACUGCAUUUGAAACUGGCAAGCUAGAGUCUUGUAGAGGGGGGUAGAAUUCCAGGUGUAGCGGUGAAAUGCGUAGAGAUCUGGAGGAAUACCGGUGGCGAAGGCGGCCCCCUGGACAAAGACUGACGCUCAGGUGCGAAAGCGUGGGGAGCAAACAGGAUUAGAUACCCUGGUAGUCCACGCUGUAAACGAUGUCGACUUGGAGGUUGUGCCCUUGAGGCGUGGCUUCCGGAGCUAACGCGUUAAGUCGACCGCCUGGGAGUACGGCCGCAAGGUUAAAACUCAAAUGAAUUGACGGGGGCCCGCACAAGCGGUGGAGCAUGUGGUUUAAUUCGAUGCACGCGAGAACCCUUACCUACUCUUGACAUCCACGGAAUUCGCCUAGAGAUGGCUUAGUGCCUUCCGGGACCCGUGAGAACAGUGCUGCAUGGGCUGUCGUCAGCUCGUGUUGUGAAAUUGUUGGGUUUAAGUCCCGCAACGAGCGCCACCCUUAUCCUUGGUGGCCAGCCCCGUAUGGCUGGACUCCAAGGAACCUGGCCGGUGGUAACCGAAGGAAGGUGGGGGGAUUGACGCUCAGUCACUACUGCCUUUCCAGAAUAGGCCUACCACUGGCUUCAAUGCUUAUACUAGGAGAGCCGGACUCCCGCGAGGGACGCAAGCGCGGCAACU
Molecule: ribosomal RNA, 1254 nt
Filed under: Rahnella sp. SYC7
Lineage: Bacteria; Pseudomonadati; Pseudomonadota; Gammaproteobacteria; Enterobacterales; Yersiniaceae
Description: bacterial SSU rRNA
Rfam family: Bacterial small subunit ribosomal RNA
Source: RNAcentral